Molecule: ribosomal RNA, 253 nt
Filed under: uncultured bacterium
Lineage: Bacteria
Description: partial 16S ribosomal RNA
Rfam family: Bacterial small subunit ribosomal RNA
Source: RNAcentral
UACGAAGGACCCGAGCGUUAUCCGGAUUUACUGGGUUUAAAGGGUGCGUAGGUGGACCUAUAAGUCAGUGGUGAAAUCCUGCAGCUUAACUGCAGAACUGCCAUUGAUACUGUUGGUCUUGAGUAUAGUUGAGGUAGGCGGAAUAUGUCAUGUAGUGGUGAAAUACUUAGAUAUGACAUAGAACACCGAUUGCGAAGGCAGCUUGCUAAGCUAUAACUGACACUGAUGCACGAAAGCGUGGGGAGCAAACAGG